Diceros bicornis minor is the source of this 7392-nucleotide long non-coding RNA. RefSeq lists it as uncharacterized. The transcript is spliced from 4 exons. Lineage: Eukaryota; Metazoa; Chordata; Mammalia; Perissodactyla; Rhinocerotidae. The record is from RefSeq and is a predicted model, not a curated record.
AGCAGUGGUGGGGCUUGGGGGACGCGGUCACUACAGCUGGCAGCCGCAGGUCUGCGCCUCUCUCUUGGGCCUCUGUAGCCCCGCAGAGGCCCACACAACGCCUCCCGGGCCCCGCGGACCUGCAAACCCGGGGCCGAGAGCGGAUUUGUCUUGGGCGCUUUCCUGGGUUUGGCAGAGGGGUUGCUGGCGGGGAUCUCUGGGUUUGAGUUGGCGAUGCGCGGCGAGGAGCUGCGUCCGGGCUGGGUGCUCUCCGAGCGCGGGGAGGCGGGAUGCGCUCGCGGAGGACUGCGGGACUCUCUGCACCCGCCCGCGUUGCGCGCUCGCCCCCCGGACCCAGGAAUGCGGCCGCUUGGGCACCCCUGCCAGCGAACUGCACGCGCUCUCCGCGGAUCCCGAGCGCACAGGCCGGCUGCCGGCGCUUUGGCCUUGGAUGGAAACUGGGGAAUGGGAUGGGGGGCUCCAUACCCCCUAACGUGGAUUACUUGGUGCAUAUCAGCCGGGCUCAGAAGACCCAGGACUUCGUCACCAUCUGUGGAUUGAUUGUACCUAACAGUCGGGACGCUCACCUGGAGGUGAACUCAGAGGUUUGUGGCUGACCUGGAGAAGUUGCUUCGAACCAAGAAAGAAGGACAAGAAAAAAGACGAGCUGCGCACGGUGACAGUGAAUUGUCCCAGCCUCCUGGUGCGCCGUGCCUCAGCUCCUGCUGCCUGCUCUUUCUCUGCAGGGCCCGAGGCAGGGCACAGAGGUCUUGCAGCACACGUCAAGUAGGUGACUCAAAGCCUGCAUGUCCAGGAGACAGAGGACCAUAUGGAUUGCACCUGUUGACCUUCAGGAGCACAAAGAGUGACCUUGGCAUUAAAGGGGAUCUCAGGACUUUCUGGAAUGCUGCCGACUGAAGUCUGGCCCUAAUAAAGCAGGAUGUGGGGCAAGGGGCCACUCCCUGCCUGCAAAGGCUAGAUUUACCCAUGGCUGUCUAGACCCCACCAUCCGCAGUGUUUGCAGUUCUGGCUGCCUAGAAAAGAGGAUUGGCAAGGGCUGUUCUCCCUCACCCACACCUCCCACCAGGAAGCUUGGUGGAGCCAGCAUAUGCACCAGGACCCCCUGAAGACCUGGCUAAGAUAGGACCGUCUCUUCAGAGGGAGAGCUCUGGAUUUGAUUGAGAAUUCUUGUUUUGGAGACUAAGGAAACUUCUGGAUUUGGGAAGACAUUUGAGGAGAAAGCAAGGACCCUCGCACUGAGGAAUAGUCUGUGUGUUGACCUGCACCAGCUGGAGGUGACCUACAGUUGGAGAAGACGCCGUGAUCCCAGACCUUGUCCUUCUUUCUUGUGGAAACCGUUUUCUCUGCUACUGCCUGCUCUUAAGACUCCCUCCUCCAGCCCCGGAACCAAAGAGCUUUCUGCCACACCCUUUCUUGCCCCCUACCUCCCACGUCUGCUGUGCCUUUGGACUCAGCAAUUCUUGUUUGCUCCAUUAUCUUCCAGCCGGAUACAGAGUGAAUAGUUAACUACACUUAGGUCAAAUGGGAUCUUAAUUUUUGUUCCUGCUCCUUCUAAAGAGGCCGAUGUUUGUGUGUUGCCGUGCAAGCAGUCUUGGUAUGGUAUCCCUUCUCAUUUAUUUGGGAUCUGACCCCAUAGGUUCCAGAGUGAUAUAAAUCAGUGAAGUUCUUCAGGCUCUCAGAUGCUAGGGAUGUUGGCAGGGGCUUUGGCAGGGGAGCGGGGUCAUGAAGGCUGGUGUUCUCCAUGUUCAACUUUCUUUGUUCAGAUCACACACCUGUGUGUACAUCUAGAGGAGCAGAAAAUGAAUGCUGUUGUACAUUCCAACUUUCUUCUCUUGACACAGAUGCACAGUCAGCUGUGAAGGCCUUCUUCCCUCAUGUGGCCAUUGGAGUCCGUGCUAGAAGAUGGAGCUUCAUUACAGACUACGCAGCUGCCAGAGUUGAUGGUGUUUAUUGAGGACCCUCUUCCUCCAGUGUGUGCUGAUGACACACACACUUGACAACAAAAUACAAGUCCUGUUUGUUCCUUUCACUCUGUAGCCUCCAUAUGCGUGGCUGAAAACACUUUCUAGAUAUCCAUCGUGGUUCGACAUUGUCCAAAAUGCAAAGCCAAAGAUGUUUGUACUUUCUAUUUCCAAAGCAAAUGACUUGCCUUUGUAAAAAGAAUUAAAGCUAGACAUAUCUGUCUUCCCUGUGUUGUAGACGAUGUCUUUGUGUGACCAUUUAGUGACGUGGGUGUCUUCUGAGUGGAGUGAUGGGCUCCUUCUUGGCAUCUCAGGUUCACCACAAAUUGAGAGAGGAGAACUCUGGAGGAGCUUUCGUGCUAUUGAAAUGUGAGGCUUGUUUGUGGGCUUUCACCUUCCUUCUUGACCUGCAGACAGACUCUUUGUAUUAGUUAGAUUCCUUUGGGUUUCAAGGACUGAGGGGUUUCCCAGGACACAGGACUUUCAGUGCUAAAUCUGGGACAGUCCUGAACAAACUGGAACAAUUGGUCACCCUACUGGGUGACUUGAUGACCCUUCCUCUGCUCCUGCUUUACCUGCUGUAACCAGCUGAUGCUCUUGAUUGGUUUGGUCAGUUGCCAUUCAGAGCUCUUGUGACUGGCCACUUCAUUGGCCACUGGGCAGCCUAUAAAUGGAUGCCAUUGGAUCAGGUACUAAUCUUGACCAAAUUGUUGGUCAAGUUGUUUCCAAGGUGGUAGGGUUGCAUGAUAUUUAAUAAAAACCUGGGUGUAAAGAACCAGCUGAGACCACUUCCUUCAGAAGAGUGCUGUGGACACUGGGUAUGACAGGCUUUGAAGGUAUCAGGGAUUCCUCUCCAAUACAAUCCUAUGUAUAAAGGUGAAGUUAACCUUUCUUUUUAAGAACAAAACAGUUCAUUAAGAAACAAAAACUAACACAGCCUCUGGGAACAGUGGGAUAGACUAUGACGUGUGUGUGUGUGUGUGUGUGUGUGUGUGUGUGUAUCAUACAUGGACGUACUAUGUAGAAUAAUGAGUCAAGAAGAAAAUUCUGCAUCUUUGCUAGACAGAGACUAAGAGCUAAAAUCUUUGGGGUGGUGUUGUCUGGAGAGCAAAGGAGUUGGCUAGAGGACUUCCUGACGUUCCUUUGAACUCUAGGAUCCUUUAAAAUAUCAAGGGCUGUAAAUUGGGCCUAAGUGUGUGCUUUCUUCUAAAGUCUCCUAGAUAACCUUUGAGUUCAACUCAGAUAGUGUUGAGUGGGACCUCCCAGCUCACUCUUGCCUUUCCAUACACUGACUUUAUCUGGGAUAAAGGAGCGGAACUUGGUGGUGGUAGUGGGGGGUGGAGGAGGGAAAGGUUGUGCCAGCCCAAUUUUUGGUGUUCAUGACAAGUAAGAACAAUCUGAAGGCAAAUUACAGGUUCUUUUCAGGUUAGUCAAAGCCAGGCUUUCAGGAUUGCAUGCCUUCCUGAAGUUGUUCCUUCUUGUCAGGGGAUCAGGCCUCCAUCUUUUCUGCUGAAAGACGGGUGUGAGCAUCUGUGGUGCUGGAACACGAGCCUUCAGCUAAUCCCGCUCAUCUUGCAUGGUGUAGCCACAGGGAGGUCAUUGCAUGCUAAGGUAGAGAUGAGCAUGCAAACAUCUAGAAACUAUUCCCUCAUUACCUACAUGUAAAGAUUGAGAGCCCCCUCACAAGCACCUGGGUCUUUGCCCCUCUUCUGGCUCUGACUGCCUUCACUGCCAUCGAGGGAAUGCUAGCCCAGAUUCUUGGGUGCCAUUUUUCUUUUUAAAAAGAUGAACUCAUUUCAGAUGUUUCCUUCACUUAUGUUCCGCUUAUAGUCUUUGGUUUCAGAAGAAGUCCCGCUGUUAUGCCAAAGGCAACAAUCUCCUCUCUCUCUCUUCUUAUCUUCUCAUCCACGUGGAAUCUCAGAAUCCCAGAGCUUGAAGUGGUCUAAAGCAUCGCCCUAAUCUAGAUCUACCUCUGACUAAUGCAGGAAUCCCCUUUCCGUCAUUGGACGAGGGAUUGUCCAGCCCUGGGAGAGGCAACCUUCUUGGCAGGGUGGGAGAGGACUGUGAGAGAAGGUUGAAUGAUAUUCAACCUGGUGGGGAAGCAGUAGAAUUUUAAAGAGCAGUUCAUGGGCUGCCAAGUGACCACGAAUGUCAAUUUCUUAAUGAGAUUUUGAGCCAAAUGCAUUUUGCGCUGUCCCCCACGUGCAUCAGUCUCUUAUUUCUGGAUCCAAGUAGUGUGUCUUAUGCUGAUAAAAAGCACAGAAUGGCGAGGCAAGGAGACCUGAGUUUUUGUCUCAGAAAGCCCCCUGUUUUAGUUCCUUCCCUGUAAAAUGAGGGAGUUGGGCCACAUGAUCCCAGAAGCCUCUUCUAGCUCUGACAUCCAAAAUGCUGUCAUAUUUCAUAGAGUUCACGACUUAAAGAUUUGCUGGUUUUGUUCCAUAGGAGAAUAGUAUAUUAGACAUUGCCCAAGGUACAAUGUAAAGGUAUUUUAUCCACAUGCUGAACAUAUUCAUCUUGCUUCAAUUCAUCAUGAACAUAACCUCAAUUUAGUGCCCCCUCCCCCGCCCAAGAUUUUGUUGAAGCUCCCCUGUGAGAUUUUCCCAUGGCAUUGGAACUUGACCCACAGGGAACUUUUAUGCUCUUCCAGUGGUCCUGGAAAUCUGUGUGUUGAUGGAAAGAUAGGAGGUUCUAACGGUGAAGUAAGUCCCUCUGCUCUGGAGGAUAUGGUUUAAAGGGCAUAGGGUGACCUUGGAUAUGGCUACUAACCUUGGAUAAGACUCUCUCAUGCCAGGCUGGUGGAAAGCAGGGCUGGUUCCCCUCCCUCUACUUUGGGGAGCGAGCAGGGAGCAAGACCAUCUCUGCCUGGGCCUGAAAAGAGCCCUGAACUGGGGAGUCUGGAAAUUGUAGUCCUGCCUUCACUUCAAUUUGCUCCAAGAUCAUCUGUCACUUAAGCCCUUUCUCUGGGUCUCGUUUUCUCAUCUAUAAAAUGGGAGAGGGAAGGGGAAGUGGUUGGUCUUGAUGAUCCUCUAAGGGCCCUCCCAUGUGUCAAGUUCUAAGCCUUGCCUGACCCAGCUGAUGUCUGCUGUUCUCAGCAGACAAGUAGCUUUUUUCUCCCUUUGCCUUCAGCUACACAAGCCCCAAAACAGGCUGUCCUGGGAAGUCCAUUACCAAAGAAUACUUCAAAGCUGUUUGCACUUGUUGUCAGUUGCACUGAACAUGAGUUUGUUGAGGGAGAAAGCAAAUAGACAUACAGACUGAUGGCAGGAGGGGGAAGGAGAAUGCUGUUUGCCUGGGGUGACUAGCAGGAGAAAAAAAAACGUGCCUGCAGUUUUGACCAAUAAAUAAAAACUGGGAGCUCUGCGUGGCUAAAGCUGUGGGGGAUUUAUUAGUUUGCUCAGUGAAAGGCAAAUAUUAAGUCUUAAGUUGACCCGUCCUGGGACCUGCCUUUUGGCUUUUGUAUGCCGUCCGGCGCCGAUCACCGUGUACUCCGGGUUAUCGGGUUCUGUCGAAGGGGUUUUUUUCAUUGUUUUCCGUCUCCUUCUCCUUUUCUUCCUUCUUUGCCUCCUCCCCCCUACUCCCCCACCUUUUACGGUAACUCAGGUCUGGGUUCUGGAGAGGUAAGGAGAGCAGGGUGUGGAAGACAUGUUGUCCUGUUCAUAAAACUGCCCAUAAUCAGGGCUCUGACUGGCCCGGGAACUUCUCAUGCCCGCUAUGUGGUGGUCUUUGUGGGUCCCCCCCAUUCUCUGCCCUGAACCCUUAAAGUUAGGUCCCAGGCUGUUGGGCAAAAGCCUUGCCUCUCAUUAAAAAAAUGAGCAUAACCGUGGGCAUUGGAGAAAGAUAGAGAUCUCGUGUUUCUAAAUUGCAGCCUUUCCUUCAUAUGUGACUGUUCACACCUGACAGUGACGGAUGAUUUCAGCCUGAUGCACUGAAAGAUGAGCUGCUAAAGGCAGAGCUGCGAGUGCUGUUUAGGGUCUGACCAGGGCUUGUCACUCUCCGUGGAGUGAAAUAUUGGGACUCGAGGGGCUGGACAGCUACCCAGUCUAUCCAGUUUCCAAGUAUGAGCUGCAAUGAAACUGAGCUAAAUGGAACAUUCUUUAAACAUCGCCUUCAACAUCCUCAGUGAGUGCCAGUCUAUUCUAAAGCAGUGCAGUUCUGGGUACUCAGGUCUCAUGGGCGGUGCUUGCUAAUAUCUACCCACUUUGGGGUACAGGACACUCGGGCACAUUGCUCCAUGUCAGACCCGAAAUGCCCUUUUCCAAGUCCACCCUGGUAUUUGUCCAUGGAGGGUCCAUCUUUCUAACCUACUUGGAAUGUCACGGUUCCCUGCCAUUACUCAUGCAGCCAAAAGUUGAGAAUGUUCUGGAAUUGCUUAAUUAAGAAAGUUCCUUUCACACUCCAGUGGUGAUUUUUGAUUGAACUCAGCAUGAUUUUUAAUCGUCUGGCAGUUCUUCCUGGAUGAGGUUAUUUUUUUAAAAGAUUGAUGUUGGGUACCCAGGCUACUGAAAUCCUGCUAGUCCUUCAAGGCUCAUCUCAAAUGCUCUCUUCUCUAGGAAGCCUUCCUGGAUUUCUCCUUCCCUCUCAACCAGUUUUGACCUCCCCCUCAUGUAUUCUUUUAAAGCAUCUGGCAUUGGAUAGGUACUCAAAAAAUGCUGAUCCCAGGGCGGGCCCAGUGGCUAGUGGUUAAGUCUGUGCGCUCCACUUCGGUGGCCUGGGGUUCGCUGGUUCGAAUCCUGGGUGCAGACCUAUGCACACUUAUCAAGCCAUGCUGUGGAGGUGUCCCACAUACAAAAUAGAGGAAGAUGGGCACAGACGUUAGCUCAGGGCCAAUCUUCCUCACCACAAAAAACAAAGCUGAUUCACUCCUCCCUUGACCAUAGCACUUUUCAUAUGUCAUUUACUGUGCUUAUACAGAACUUGUUUUAACUACCCCCUUCUCCCCAACUGCCACUCUCUGUACCCUAUAAAAGCAGGAACUGGGUUAUUCACAUAUUGAAAUUUAUCCCUGAAAUGCCCACUGAUAUUCAGGAUCACGUAGCGGGCACUGUGAUUGACAUUUAAUCCUCAGAAAACAGAGAUUUUCAGGGAUCAAUCACUUGGGCCAAGUUUUAUAUGUGAAAAUUGGGGUUCAAGACCAAGGUCGGUGAGGACCUCAAGUUCAGAGCUCUUAGGUUGCAGCGUGGUGGCUUUUACAUGGUAAAUGUACAAAAAAGAUGUUGAGUUGACUCUUCCGAUUAAUGAUCUGUUUCUGUGUGUCAUGCCAAACUUGCCUGUAUUUUGUUUGCCCACUAUUAAUCAAUAAAGUGUUUUCUAUCCAGCUGAGAAAGAGAAAACGUGCUUGUUGCUUGCUUGGUUGGUUUCCCUGUAGAAGCUCUUCUUGAAAUGGACUGUGUCUGGUUUUGGCCAGUUAUCUGAGAGCUAGGUUCAUUUUUAA